Molecule: ribosomal RNA, 372 nt
Filed under: uncultured organism
Description: partial 16S ribosomal RNA
Rfam family: Bacterial small subunit ribosomal RNA
Source: RNAcentral
GGAAGGUGCGAGCGUUAAUCGGAAUCACUGGGCGUAAAGCGCGCGUAGGCGGUUAGGUAAGUCAGAUGUGAAAGCCCCGGGGCUUAACCUGGGGAACUGCGUUUGAUACUGCCUAACUAGAGUGUGAUAGAGGGAAGUGGAAUUCCACAUGUAGCGGUGAAAUGCGUAGAGAUGUGGAGGAACACCAAUGGCGAAGGCAACUUCCUGGAUCAACACUGACGCUCAGGUGCGAAAGCGUGGGGAGCAAACAGGAUUAGAUACCCUGGUAGUCCACGCUGUAAACGAUGUCUACUAGCCGUUGGGAGGGUUUGCCUCUUAGUGGCGCAGCUAACGCGAUAAGUAGACCGCCUGGGGAGUACGGCCGCAAGGUUA